This 72-nucleotide transfer RNA is filed under the name Marmota monax (woodchuck). It matches the Rfam family "tRNA". From Rfam's summary of the family: Transfer RNA (tRNA) molecules are approximately 80 nucleotides in length. Lineage: Eukaryota; Metazoa; Chordata; Mammalia; Rodentia; Sciuridae. The record is from Rfam by way of RNAcentral.
CUGGGUGGGGCUCAGGGGCAGAGCGCUUGCCUGGCAUGUGUGAGGCCCUGGGUUCGAUUCUCAGCACCAAAA